ACGAACCUUCGGGUUAGUGGCGGACGGGUGAGUAACACGUGGGAACGUACCUUUUGGUUCGGAAUAACGCAGAGAAAUUUGCGCUAAUACCGAAUGUGCCCUUCGGGGGAAAGAUUUAUCGCCAUUAGAGCGGCCCGCGUUAGAUUAGCUAGUUGGUGGGGUAAAGGCCCACCAAGGCUACGAUCUAUAGCUGGUCUGAGAGGAUGAUCAGCCACACUGGGACUGAGACACGGCCCAGACUCCUACGGGAGGCAGCAGUGGGGAAUCUUGCGCAAUGGGCGAAAGCCUGACGCAGCCAUGCCGCGUGAAUGAUGAAGGUCUUAGGAUUGUAAAAUUCUUUCAGUAGGGACGAUAAUGACGGUACCUACAGAAGAAGCCCCGGCUAACUUCGUGCCAGCAGCCGCGGUAAU
This 410-nucleotide ribosomal RNA is filed under the name uncultured bacterium. RNAcentral describes it as "bacterial SSU rRNA". It matches the Rfam family "Bacterial small subunit ribosomal RNA", at positions 66 to 524 of the family's 1533-position model. The record is from RNAcentral.